Molecule: long non-coding RNA, 1162 nt
Filed under: Actinidia chinensis (golden kiwifruit)
Lineage: Eukaryota; Viridiplantae; Streptophyta; Magnoliopsida; Ericales; Actinidiaceae
Description: long non-coding RNA (ACHI_LNC003703)
Source: RNAcentral
AAUUGUUGUUCUUAUUGAUAACUAAGUCUGGUAGAGAUUAAUUUGAGUCCUAAAAUUAACGGUCAGAAAACCUUCAGGAGUCGUGAAAGACUCAAAAUAGCAACCCCUUGAACACAGAGCUAAGGUUUUUACCAACUUAACUACCCUUGAGAGUUAGCGUGGUUGAAUUGUUAGCUAUGGACUAAUUUACAAAAAGCAACUUUAUUACUUAUAUUUUUUAUGCAUAGACUUUCUCAUAUGAGACUGGACUCUUCAUAUUAAGCAAAUCAAAUACGUGCAAGUAUUUCAUAAUUAUUUGACUUGCUCUAAUACUCUUCUCAUGUGGAGCUAGACACUUCUAUUAAGCACGCUACACGAGCUUUUUAAUGACUCAAAUUCGAGUAGCUUGAUUCGUUUAACAACUAUACGUAUGGUCAGACUCUUCUCCAUAAGCAUACCAAACACUUGUAGAAGUAUUUCCUAAUUAUUAUCUAUUCUAAUAUCACGUUGAAUUGUUAAUCAUCAACUCGUUUACAAGUAUUUGUUAAAGAGAGGGAUAAUAUUUAUUAUAUAUAUCUUCAAUAAGUACAGAUAGAUAUUGCAUCAUGUUGUGUGAUGAAGGUGGAUUAUGAGACAAUAAAACAUAAUAUCCAAUAAUGAAUGCUAGGAAGGAGGCAAAUCUUACACUCACCCUAAAAUUCAGCAUAAUCAAUUGUUUUUUGGUUUUUCUACUAUACUAAUGACUGCAAAUGCUUGAUAUAUUUGUAUUAUAAUAUGUUAUGAAUAAUUGUGGAUUCCUAUAUUAAUUUGUUCAAUAUAAAUAAAUAAAUUAAUUGAAUUUUUUGUUUGAGUAGGUAGAUAAUCAGGAACUGGCGAGGUCCAAAAGUCCUAAAUUUCAGUGUUUCUUGGAGUGAUAAAUGUCUUCCUCCUAUUAUCAGCAUGAUCUUUGUUCAACCUUUUAUAUGGAUAUAAAAUGGAAGUCCACAAUUUACAAUAUGAGCCUGUGAUUCUUUGGACCUUCCAAAAUCAGAAAGCUAGCUAGCCAAUAAUUUUUAUCUAUGCAAUGAUUAACAAGCAUGAUUUCUUGUAUAAGCAAGAUGCAUCACCACCCUUCUUGGUAGUACCUAGAUCCGAUCAAUCCAAGGGCUACUCUCUUAGCGAGGUUGAUCCAUGAAAAGCAAUU